This is a non-coding RNA of Oryctolagus cuniculus (rabbit), 3292 nucleotides long. Lineage: Eukaryota; Metazoa; Chordata; Mammalia; Lagomorpha; Leporidae. The record is from RefSeq and is a predicted model, not a curated record.
UUGUCCUACUGGAAUGAUAGCCCUGUAGAGUGUUUUGCAAAUGAUAGAAAUGCUAUAUGUCUUCACAGGUCCUCCAGAUGAGGAGUUUUCUAUUUCACCAUAUCUGUUCUGGGGGACAAAAAGGCAACUGAAUAGAGUCAACUCUUAAAUGAAUAUCAUUUACCACCUAGUCGUCUAUGCAGGCAAAGCACGCUUGGCCUGGGAAACAUCUAGACCAGCAUAACACCCUCCCCAGAGGCAGUCCCAGGGAAGAAAGAAAUUCUCACACCUACCAUGGCAGAAAACAUCGUGUCUCUCAAAGAUGUCCACACCUCAGUCCUCAGAACGUGAAGACACAUUACUUUAUUUGGCAAUAAAUAAAUAAAAAGACUGCAGAUGCGAUCAAGUUUCUAGUUCCAAGCGUAAUGCCUGAUGCACCAUAUUCGCGAAUAAAUAACUCAAGAAAGAAAAAUGACAUGAGCUACCAAAAUUCAGGGUGGACAAGAGGGAUGUAACCACAGAUAACACUCAUCUACCCAAUUUUGACACACGUACUCAAGUGCCAGAGAAGGAUCAAAGUCCAUCUGUCUAGAGGAGGUUUUGCCUGUCAAUCAAAUUUGUCAUUACUUGGAUUAAGUUGUUGAGAUGAUUAGCCUCUUGGAAAAUAACGAAGAUGGAAAUGCCAUAAUAAAUUAUUAUUAAUAAUAGGGAUUUGGGGCAAAUGACACUGUACCAGUAGAAACCCACAAUCUUAUUACUUAAGCUGCCUUCAGGCCUGGUGGAAAGAAAAUAUUCCCUGGGACGUAGUAGCUUCAUCUCUUUGGCCUCCUCCUGAGGCAUCCGCCCUAGUCAUCAUGAUACUGUCCCCGGGCCCUGGCGACCAGUGCCCUCAUGACUAAUUAAAAACUUGCAUCACAGCAAUGUUAAAGGGCUGGGAGUCCUUUCUCUUUCAAAGCAGGACUUCUGGCUCCAACUUCUGCACUUGGUGAUAUCAAGCUGAUUCAUAGCGUGGACAUAGGCUAUUUUUGGGCAAAGCCAACUCCAGCCUCUCACUCCCUACAGCUGGAACAAGAGCUGACCUUGAAUGACCUAGGUGGCAGACAUCAUGGCUUCUCUUAGGAAGUUAUUAGACAACAGUGAGGUGCGUUGCCUGCAAAGGACACAGAGAUACAAAAACCACAGGAAAUCUAGGCUCUCUCAAGAAAAGUGUUCUCACAUCCUCUGAAGAGGAACAGCCCUGACUUUUCCUCCUCUUUUCUCUCUGUCAGAAGUGGAAAAGAUUGGUGGGAGAAGCCGGAUGACAAGUUGCUUCUAAGCCUGUGCAUAAGAUAAGUAACAUCCUGGUAUACAUAUUUAUUUAUUUUUAGUUUUUUUCUGUUUGAAAGACACAUACAGGGGGAGAGAGAGAAAGAGAGAGAGACAAUGAGAGAGACACAGAAAGAGAUACACAGAGAGAGAAAUUCCUUACAUGGUUUCACUCUAAAUGCCUAGUGGGCCCAAAACAGAGACCACUCAGUCAGGAUCACCCAUGAGGGUAGCGGCAAUCCAAGUGCUUGAGCCAUCAAGCUGCCUCCCAUGGAGCCGAGUGCCUGAGCUGGGAACAAUCACAGGCACUCUAAGGUGGGACAGGGGUGUCUCAAUAGCUAGAUUAAAUGCCUGCUCCACCGAUUACCUCAAGAUAAGUCUGGUUACCUGGGAAGCUACCUGCUAAAAUCCUGUGUUUCCGUCUUAAAUCAUAUUGUCUAAUAUUGAGAGCAUUUUGGAAGGAAGGGAAUUGUAUAUCUAAUUGUAUGUGUAUCUCUCAGACUGGGUCAGUAUUUAGCAUAUAAAUGUAACUUAUUUUGUGUCCAGUGAGUGAAAGGAAAAUUUAAUUAUUUAGGAUCAUUAUACAUAAACACAUGAUAUCAAAUGUUCAUUGAAACAUGUGUUGUUUGUUCAUGAAUAACAGUACUAAAUGAAGAAACAAAGAAAGAGCAUAAUGAGCAGUCAUUCAAUUAUUUAUCCUCCUUUCCUUAGGUGGAAAUGCUCGAUUCUGUCCCCAGACGGCUGCCCUAAUUCUGACCUUGGCCUUAUUCCAGAGCACUUCAGCAGCCACCCUUGUAGCUUGUGCCUGGGGAGGAAAUUCAGCAGGAUGCUAGCUGCCUUCCCAGUGUGUCCUGGGACUCCUGAGUGCUGCCCAUCUCAAGGCUUCUCCUUUCAGCUCAUCAUUGACGCAGCUGACUCCGGUCUCCAGAUCCACACAUUGCUGUGUGCUCUUUCUUUUCUUCUUCACCUGGAGCCUCAGGGGACGGCGAAAUUAAGAGAGGAGGGGCUGUAGAGUUGAUAAGGAAAUGCUGAACACUGGAGGCUAAUGCAAGUUCCUCACUUUAUUUCUCAUGUCAUCUACUUAUUGAGGGAAGGAAAACUGAUUCGUGUUCAGGUAGUUUUGAAAAAUAAUUGUAAAGUAUUUUUUUCUUUUUUUAAACUUUUAUUUACUAAAUAUCAAUUUUGAAAGUACAACGUUUGGAUUAUAGCAGCUUUUCCCCCCAUAACCUCCCUCCCACCUGCAACCAUCCCACUCCCACUCCCUCUCCCAUCCCAUUCUUCAUCACGAUUCAUUUUGAAUUAUCUUUACAUACAGAAGAUCUACUUAGUAUAUACUAAGUAAAGGUUUCAACAGACUGCACCCACACAGACACACAAAGUAUAAAGCACUGUUUGAGUACUAGUUUUACCAUUAAUUCACAUAGUACAACACAUUAAGGACAGAGAUCCUAUAUGGGGAGUAAGUGCACAGUGACUCUCAUUGUUGAUUUAGCAAUUGACACUCUUUUUUUUUUUUAAUUUUUUUAACAGGUAGAGUUAUAGACAGUGAGAGAGAGACAGAGAGGAAGGUCUUCCCUCCGUUGGUUCACUCUCUUAAUGGCCACCAUGGCCGGCAUUGUGCUGAUCUGAAGCCAGGAGCCAGGUGCUUCCUCCUGGUCUCCCACGUAGGGGCAGGGGCCCAAGCACCUGGGCCAUCCUCCAAUCCUCCAGGGCCACAGCAGAGAGCUGGACUGGAAGAGGAGCAACCGGGACUAGAACCCGACGCCCAUAUAGGAUGCCGGCGCCGCAGGCCGAGGAUUAGCCAAGUGAGCCAUGGCGCCGGCCCCGACACUCUUAUUUAUGACAUCAGUAAUCACCCGAGGCUCUUGUCAUGAGCUGCCAAGGCUAUGGAAGCCUCUUGAGUUCAUAAACUCUGAUCUUUAGACAAGGCCAUAGUCAAAGUGGAAGUUCUCUCCUCCCUUCAGAGAAAGGUACCUCCUUCUUUGAUGGCCCACUCUUUCUGCUAGGA